This 411-nucleotide long non-coding RNA is filed under the name Nicotiana benthamiana. RNAcentral's name for it is "long non-coding RNA (NBEN_LNC029718)". Lineage: Eukaryota; Viridiplantae; Streptophyta; Magnoliopsida; Solanales; Solanaceae. The record is from RNAcentral.
GGGAAUGUCAAAACAGCAAUUCGUUCUAAAAUUAGUGUAAAUACCUCAACAACUGGAAAUAAACUUAGAAGAGCCAAACAAAUGCCGGAAAAUAGGAAAUCGGAGUCAGCAACUUAUCACGGCAGAAACAGCAACAUCACAACUUACUCGAGGAUGCAGUCGUUUGGAAACCAAGAGGAUCUUGGGCUUCUCAGCUUUACUAGGCGUGUUAGCAUUUGAUACAAUAGUUGCUGUAGUAGAACGAAACUAGAUGCUAAGGCCAAAAUCGGAUCAAGAAAGAGAUGGACCAACUAACAUGGGAUCUAUGUUAGGAGAUGUAAGAUAGAGCUCCAUACGGGAGGUUCUCAUGGGAGUUGAUGGUAUCACCGUUUGCUCUCUCUAUUUUUCAGAGCAGGAGAGAUCUUCUUUUGC